RNAcentral lists this ribosomal RNA (253 nucleotides) under uncultured bacterium. Its description in RNAcentral is "partial 16S ribosomal RNA". It matches the Rfam family "Bacterial small subunit ribosomal RNA", at positions 524 to 776 of the family's 1533-position model. The record is from RNAcentral.
UACGGGGGGGGCAAGCGUUGUUCGGAAUUACUGGGCGUAAAGGGCUCGUAGGCGGCCAACUAAGUCAGACGUGAAAUCCCUAGGCUUAACCUGGGAACUGCGUCGGAUACUGGAUGGCUUGAGUUCGGGAGAGGGAUGCGGAAUUCCAGGUGUAGCGGUGAAAUGCGUAGAUAUCUGGAGGAACACCGGUGGCGAAGGCGGCAUCCUGGACCAACAUUGACGCUGAGGAGCGAAAGCCAGGGGAGCAAACGGG